ACCUACGGGGCGCAGCAGUGGGGGAUAUUGCACAAUGGGGGAAACCCUGAUGCAGCGACGCCGCGUGGGCGAAGAAGUAUUUCGGUAUGUAAAGCCCUAUCAGCAGGGAAGAAGAAAUGACGGUACCUGAGUAAGAAGCACCGGCUAAAUACGUGCCAGCAGCCGCGGUAAUACGUAUGGUGCAAGCGUUAUCCGGAUUUACUGGGUGUAAAGGGAGCGUAGACGGUUAAUCAAGUCAGAAGUGAAAACCCAGGGCUCAACCUUGGGACUGCUUUUGAAACUGAGUAGCUAGAGUGCAGGA
This 301-nucleotide ribosomal RNA is filed under the name uncultured bacterium. Its description in RNAcentral is "bacterial SSU rRNA". It matches the Rfam family "Bacterial small subunit ribosomal RNA", at positions 337 to 653 of the family's 1533-position model. The record is from RNAcentral.